UACGUAGGGUGCGAGCGUUAAUCGGAAUUACUGGGCGUAAAGGGUGCGCAGGCGGCGUCGCAAGUCAGGCGUGAAAUCCCCAGGCUUAACCUGGGAACUGCAUUCGAGACUGCAUUGCUAGAGUAUGGGAGAGGGAAGUGGAAUUUCCGGUGUAGCGGUGAAAUGCGUAGAUAUCGGAAGGAACAUCAGUGGCGAAAGCGACUUCCUGGACCAAUACUGACGCUCAUGUGCGAAAGCGUGGGGAGCAAACAGG
This 253-nucleotide ribosomal RNA is filed under the name uncultured bacterium. RNAcentral describes it as "partial 16S ribosomal RNA". It matches the Rfam family "Bacterial small subunit ribosomal RNA", at positions 524 to 776 of the family's 1533-position model. The record is from RNAcentral.